This 465-nucleotide ribosomal RNA is filed under the name uncultured bacterium. Its description in RNAcentral is "partial 16S ribosomal RNA". It matches the Rfam family "Bacterial small subunit ribosomal RNA", at positions 28 to 507 of the family's 1533-position model. The record is from RNAcentral.
GAUGAACGCUGGCGGCGUGCUUAACACAUGCAAGUCGAACGAUGAAGCCCAGCUUGCUGGGUGGAUUAGUGGCGAACGGGUGAGUAACACGUGAGUAACCUGCCCUUAACUCUGGGAUAAGCCUGGGAAACUGGGUCUAAUACCGGAUAGGAGCGUCCACCGCAUGGUGGGUGUUGGAAAGAUUUAUCGGUUUUGGAUGGACUCGCGGCCUAUCAGCUUGUUGGUGAGGUAAUGGCUCACCAAGGCGACGACGGGUAGCCGGCCUGAGAGGGUGACCGGCCACACUGGGACUGAGACACGGCCCAGACUCCUACGGGAGGCAGCAGUGGGGAUAUUGCACAAUGGGCGAAAGCCUGAUGCAGCGACGCCGCGUGAGGGAUGACGGCCUUCGGGUUGUAAACCUCUUUCAGUAGGGAAGAAGCGAAAGUGACGGUACCUGCAGAAGAAGCACCGGCUAACUACGUG